This 627-nucleotide ribosomal RNA is filed under the name Triticum aestivum (bread wheat). Its description in RNAcentral is "partial small subunit ribosomal RNA". Lineage: Eukaryota; Viridiplantae; Streptophyta; Magnoliopsida; Poales; Poaceae. The record is from RNAcentral.
AUGGUGAAGCACAACAAUGUUAUCCCUAACGGCCACUUCAAGAAGCAUUGGCAGAACUAUGUCAAGACCUGGUUCAACCAGCCUGCCCGCAAGCAGAGGCGCCGCAUUGCUCGUCAAAAGAAGGCUGUGAAGAUCUUCCCUCGCCCAACAUCUGGUCCUCUUCGUCCCAUCGUGCAAUGCCAGACUCGGAAGUACAACAUGAAGGCAAGGGCUGGGAGAGGCUUUACCCUUGAGGAGCUGAAGUCAGCGGGCAUCCCGAAGAAGCUAGCUCCUACCAUUGGCAUUUCUGUGGACCACCGCCGUAAAAACCGGUCACUUGAGGGUAUGCAGUCUAACAUUCAGAGACUCAAGACUUACAAGGCCAAGCUGGUUAUCUUCCCAAGGCGUGCUCGCAAGGUUAAGGCUGGUGAUUCUACCCCUGAGGAACUUGCCACAGCCACCCAGGUCCAGGGUGACUACAUGCCUAUUACUCGUGGUGAGAAGCGCUCGGUUGAGCUCAUGAAGGUCACCGAAGAGAUGAAGGCGUUCAAGGCCUACGGCAAGCUACGUGUCGAGAGGAUGAACCAGCGCCAGCUUGGCGCCCGCACGAAGAAAGCCGCCGAGGCAGAGAAGGAAGAAAAGAAGUGA